This 462-nucleotide ribosomal RNA is filed under the name uncultured bacterium. Its description in RNAcentral is "bacterial SSU rRNA". It matches the Rfam family "Bacterial small subunit ribosomal RNA", at positions 34 to 507 of the family's 1533-position model. The record is from RNAcentral.
CGCUGGCGGCGCGCCUAACACAUGCAAGUCGAACGAGCAAAGAGGAGCUUGCUUCUCUGAGCGAGUGGCGAACGGGUGAGUAACGCGUGAGGAACCUGCCUCAAAGAGGGGGACAACAGUUGGAAACGACUGCUAAUACCGCAUAAGCCCACGGGUCGGCAUCGACCAGAGGGAAAAGAUUUAUCGCUGAAAGAUGGCCUCGCGUCUGAUUAGCUAGUUGGUGAGGUAAACGGGCCCACCAAGGCGACGAUCAGUAGCCGGACUGAGAGGUUGAACGGCCACAUUGGGACUGAGAUACGGCCCAGACUCCUACGGGAGGCAGCAGUGGGGAAUAUUGGGCAAUGGGCGCAAGCCUGACCCAGCAACGCCGCGUGAAGGAAGAAGGCUUUCGGGUUGUAAACUUCUUUUGUCAGGGACGAGUAGAAGACGGUACCUGACGAAUAAGCCACGGCUAACUACGUG